This 240-nucleotide unclassified non-coding RNA is filed under the name soil metagenome. RNAcentral describes it as "partial contains 5.8S ribosomal RNA, internal transcribed spacer 2, and large subunit ribosomal RNA". The record is from RNAcentral.
AACACUGUUAACCUGCGGUACCUGCGGAAGGAUCAUUAAUAAAAUUUAUAGUCGUAACAAACUAUAUUAAACCCUUUGUGAACCAAAAAACCUUUUCGCUUCGGUAGCAGGCUUGGGUGCGAAAGCUCCCCAAGCUGUCAGCCUGCCGGCAGCACCAAACCAAAACUUGUUAUAAAUUUUGUCUGAACAGAAUCAUUUUCGAAUGAAAAUUAAAACUUUUAACAACGGAUCUCAGAUCGG